This 520-nucleotide ribosomal RNA is filed under the name uncultured Diversispora. Its description in RNAcentral is "SSU rRNA". It matches the Rfam family "Eukaryotic small subunit ribosomal RNA", at positions 569 to 1088 of the family's 1831-position model. Lineage: Eukaryota; Fungi; Glomeromycota; Glomeromycetes; Diversisporales; Diversisporaceae. The record is from RNAcentral.
AGCAGCCGCGGUAAUUCCAGCUCCAAUAGCGUAUAUUAAAGUUGUUGCAGUUAAAAAGCUCGUAGUUGAACUUCGGGGUUUACCCAUUGGUCAGGCUUAAUUGUCUGUACUGGUGAGAUGAAUCUCUACCUUCUGAGGAACUUUCAUGCCAUUUAUUUGGUGUGAUGGGAAAUCAGGACUGUUACCUUGAAAAAAUUAGAGUGUUUAAAGCAGGCUAACGUCUGAAUACAUUAGCAUGGAAUAAUGAAAUAGGACGGACUGAUCCUAUUUCGUUGGUUUCUAGGAUCACCGUAAUGAUUAAUAGGGAUAGUUGGGGGCAUUAGUAUUCAAUUGUCAGAGGUGAAAUUCUUGGAUUUAUUGAAGACUAACUACUGCGAAAGCAUUUGCCAAGGAUGUUUUCAUUAAUCAAGAACGAAAGUUAGGGGAUCGAAGACGAUCAGAUACCGUCGUAGUCUUAACCAUAAACUAUGCCGACUAGGGAUCGGACGAAGUUAAUUUUAUAAUGACGCGUUCGGCACCU